GUUGGGUGUGGUGGUGCACACCUGUAAUUCCAGCAGCUCAGGAGGCUGAGGCAGGAGGCAAGUUCAAAGCCAGCCUCAGAAAAAGAGAGGUGCUAAGCAACCCAGUGAGACCCUGUCUCUA
This 121-nucleotide small RNA is filed under the name Marmota monax (woodchuck). The record is from RNAcentral. Lineage: Eukaryota; Metazoa; Chordata; Mammalia; Rodentia; Sciuridae.